Molecule: long non-coding RNA, 819 nt
Organism: Raphanus sativus (radish)
Lineage: Eukaryota; Viridiplantae; Streptophyta; Magnoliopsida; Brassicales; Brassicaceae
Exons: 3
Source: RefSeq, a predicted model, not a curated record
UCCACAAGGAAACCAGCCCAUUAAACACUAAUAUUCUUGAAACUCAACAAUUUGGAAAUUAGGGUUCUUCACAAUCUUUGAUUUACGAUUUACGAGAAGCUGAGAUGCGAAGUCGCCGUGACGAUUCCGUUGGUUGGGGUUUCGAUCACGUCUUUUCACCUUCUUUUCUUCCAUUGAAAUGAGACAUCUUCCAGAUCCAUCUAAUUAAACAUGUUUUUUUUAACUCCUUGAGCCACGAUCUACACUUCAAUGUGGGUUAGUUUUCUUAGAGGCAUUGUUUCUACGAUAUAAAAAGGUCCUGUAGGUGCUCCUCCCCUGUUGAGGUCAGAUUACUGCGUUUCUGGGAGGGCAGGAAUGUCAAGUGCGCUGGUGAACUCAUUUGAGAACUAUUCAGAGUCAAAUGAAUGCAAGUUCCGAGCUUUCUUUGUUGCUUAACGUUUUUGUUCUUGGUUGCUGACUCUUUUCACCGGAUUGGCUAGCAGAGGAAGUAACAGCAGGCUCUUAUGAUUUAUGACGUCUCUUGACGCUGCUGAAACAUGAUCAAAGAGAUGACGUCUAUCAAAGUGAAGGUUGGUCCCUGGAUCAAAGUCACAACAUUGAAUCUGAGCUAUGCUCUUCAAAUUUCGCAUCUUGCUGGAUCUGGAGAAGGGAGAAGAAAGUUGUAGUACGUUAGGAGAGAUGGUAAACUGUUAGUUUGUAUUGGUCCAUUUUUCAAAUUUUGGUCGUUAGUGUGCAAAGUUAUUAGUCUAUUACCUUACGUGACUUGAAACUUGGUCGGCCGAGAACAGAGACUUCUUUCAAUUUGUCUAAUAUUUUCUA